AGAACGAACGCUGGCGGCGCGUUUUAAGCAUGCAAGUCGAACGGUAGAGUGGGCUUCGGCCUACUUGAGAGUGGCGAACGGGUGAGUAACACGUAGGUGAUCUACCAUGGAGUCCGGGAUAGCUUGUGGAAACACAGGGUAAGACUGGAUGUGACCCUAUUGCUGCGGUGAUAGGGGGAAAGGCGCUAUGGCGCUGCUCUAUGAUGAGCCUGCGGUCCAUUAGCUAGUUGGUGGGGUAAGGGCCUACCAAGGCGACGAUGGAUAGCCGGCCUGAGAGGGUGAACGGCCACACUGGGACUGAGACACGGCCCAGACUCCUACGGGAGGCAGCAGCUAAGAAUCUUCCGCAAUGGGCGAAAGCCUGACGGAGCGACGCCGCGUGGACGAAGAAGGCCGGAAGGUUGUAAAGUCCUUUUGCAGAUGAAGAAUAAGGUGGUGAGGGAAUGCGCCACUGAUGACGUUAGUCUGUGAAUAAGCCCCGGCUAAUUACGUGCCAGCAGCCGCGGUAACACGUAAGGGGCGAGCGUUGUUCGGAAUUAUUGGGCGUAAAGGGCGUGUAGGCGGUCGUGCAAGCCUGGUGUGUAAGGCUACGGCUUAACCGUAGGAUUGCGCUGGGAACUGCAUGGCUAGAGUCCGGAAAGGGGAGGUAGAAUUCCUGGUGUAGGGGUGAAAUCUGUAGAUAUCAGGAAGAAUACCGGUGGCGAAGGCGACCUCCUGGUCUAGGACUGACGCUGAGGCGCGAAAGCGUGGGGAGCGAACAGGAUUAGAUACCCUGGUAGUCCACGCUGUAAACGAUGUGCACUAGGUGUUGGGGUGACGUAGCCUCAGUGCCGUAGCUAACGCGAUAAGUGCACCGCCCUGGGGAGUAUGCUCGCAAGGGUGAAACUCAAACGAAUUGACGGUGGCCCGCACAAGCGGUGGAGCAUGUGGUUUAAUGUCGAUGAUAACGCGGAGGAACCUUACCAGGGCUUGACAUUGCCGUGGUGGCGGUAGAGAUACCGCUUCCCUUCGGGGCACGGUAACAAGGUGCUGCAUGGCUGUCGUCAGCUCGUGCUGUGACGUGUUGGGGUUAGUCCCGCACGAGCGCAACCCCUAACUGUUGCUGNUUUUUGCCCAACAGGUUAAGCUGGGAUCAGACGGAUGCCGGUGACAAACCGGAGGANNAANNNGGGNUUUGGGGANCGGAACGUCAAGUCAUAGGCCCUUAUGCUGGGCACAACGGCACAAUGCCGGACAGAGCGAGGCGAGACCGCGAGGUGGAGCAAAUCGCAGAAAGCCGGUCCCAGUCGGAUCGGAGUCUGAAACCCGACUUCGUGAAGGUGGAAUCGCUAGUAAUCGCACAUCAGCAUGGUGCGGUGAAUACGUUCCCGGGCCUUGUACACACCGCCCGUCACACCACCCGAGUUGGGGGUACCCGAAGUCGCUUGUCUAACCGUGCAAACGGGGGACGGUGCCGAAGUAUGCCUGUAAGGGGGGUGAAG
This 1481-nucleotide ribosomal RNA is filed under the name uncultured organism. RNAcentral's name for it is "bacterial SSU rRNA". It matches the Rfam family "Bacterial small subunit ribosomal RNA". The record is from RNAcentral.